CCUACGGGUGGCAGCAGUGAGGAAUAUUGGUCAAUGGGCGCGAGCCUGAACCAGCCAAGUAGCGUGAAGGAUGACUGUCCUACGGGUUGUAAACUUCUUUUAUAAAGGAAUAAAGUGAGGCUCGUGUGCCUUUUUGUAUGUACUUUAUGAAUAAGGAUCGGCUAACUCCGUGCCAGCAGCCGCGGUAAUAAGGAGGAUCCGAGCGUUAUCCGGGUUUGUUGGGUUUAAAGGGAGCGUAGAUGGGUUGUUAAGUCAGUUGUGAAAGUUUGCGGGCCAACCGUAAACUUGCAAUGGAUACUGGCAGCCUUGAGUACAGUUGAGGUAGGCGGAAUUCGUGGUGUAGCGGUGAAAUGCGUAGAUAUCACGAAGAACUCCGAUUGCGAAGGCAGCCUACUAAACUGCCACUGACGUUGAUGCACGAAAGUGUGGGUAUCAAACAGGAUUAGAUACCCUGGUAGUC
Molecule: ribosomal RNA, 460 nt
Filed under: uncultured bacterium
Lineage: Bacteria
Description: partial 16S ribosomal RNA
Rfam family: Bacterial small subunit ribosomal RNA
Source: RNAcentral